UAUGAAAUUCCUAGCCAAAUGGAUGGAC
This 28-nucleotide non-coding RNA is filed under the name Mus musculus (house mouse). The record is from RNAcentral. Lineage: Eukaryota; Metazoa; Chordata; Mammalia; Rodentia; Muridae.